GGUUGUAUCUCAACAAUGUUCUAAAUCCUAUUUGUUUUAUUUUCUAUGAACAAAGGCUCAGCUUAGUUCAGGUGGUUAUAGUAAAUGUUGGAUGUCUUGAUAAAAUGUGUUAGUGUUAAUAUUUGUAUGAAAAUAGCAUUUAACAGUUCGCUAGCUUGAUGCUUUGCAAAGUUAGAUCUCUUUUCACACAACAGCAGCAUCCAGGCCUCCAGAGUACUCACCCUAUCACCUUCUGUAGGGACGGGAGCCGCAGCUGUUUACUGAGGUGAGCCUGAACAUGGACAAGGUUCAGGAGAAACAUAAGGAAAACCACCAGAGGAGAAUCAAGAAGGGGACCAAGUGCUUCGACAUCCGGUCAAAUUACUUGGCUUGGAAGAAGGAUGAAAGGAAGUCGAGACCUUGCUGCUCUUUCGCUCCUAGCUGGGGCCACGAUCCGUUCAGGGACCAUCCCUCACCUCCCUCAUCAACCCCACUGACAUAAAAAAAAUACAGACAGGACCUAGGGGUACUGCCUAACACCCAGAUGUGGAUCUACCUGAUGUCCUCCAUUACCAACCACCCUCCAACUUUUCAUUACAUCAUCUACAGCUACUGUUACUGUCAUGUUGUCAUUAUCUGCUAAGAAAGAGCAAGAAAACUAUCAUACUGGGAACAUAAUGUGAGAUACAAUGAUUAUCUAAAAACACUAGCACUCAGAACAAAGAGAGCAGCAGUGCAUGGACUUCAGUCUCCCUCUUCCAGUCCCCCUUCCGAGACUGACUGUUUGUUGAGAACAGUGACAGACAGAACCUCCCAACCACAUAGCACCCACCUCCUCUCUAUUCCACACACCAGAAUUCAGUAUUUCAGUCUAUGAUUGCCAUGUGAGGACAAAAAAAGCUAAGUUUUAAAUAUAUAAUCGUAAAUAUUGCCAGGUUGGUUUUCAUAGCUUGUUCAUUGUUGAAAAUAUUAAUGUAUCCCUUGAUGAUAUUUGUUAGGUCAACAUUAUUCAUUGUUGU
Long non-coding RNA from Salmo salar (Atlantic salmon), 998 nucleotides. RefSeq lists it as uncharacterized. NCBI's taxonomy places the organism in Eukaryota, Metazoa, Chordata, Actinopteri, Salmoniformes, Salmonidae. The record is from RefSeq and is a predicted model, not a curated record.